CCUACGGGAUGCAGCAGUGAGGAAUAUUGGUCAAUGGGCGAGAGCCUGAACCAGCCAAGUCGCGUGAAGGAUGACGGCCCUACGGGUUGUAAACCUCUUUUGUCGGGGAGCAAAAGCCGGACGUUUCCGGCUGUGAGAGUACCCGAAGAAAAAGCACCGGCUAACUCCGUGCCAGCAGCCGCGGUAAUACGGAGGAUGCGAGCAUUAUCCGGAUUUAUUGGGUUUAAAGGGUGCGCAGGCGGAUUUUUAAGUCAGCUGGCAAAUCGUGGGGCUCAACCCCAUCCAGCCGUUGAAACUGGGGAUCUAGAGUGUGCGAGAGGGAUGCGGAAUGCGUGGUGUAGCGGUGAAAUGCAUAGAUAUCACGCAGAACCCCGAUUGCGAAGGCAGCAUACCGGUGCACAACUGACGCUCAGGCACGAAAGCGUGGGUAUCGAACAGGAUUAGAGACCCUUGUAGUC
This 458-nucleotide ribosomal RNA is filed under the name uncultured bacterium. RNAcentral describes it as "partial 16S ribosomal RNA". It matches the Rfam family "Bacterial small subunit ribosomal RNA", at positions 338 to 795 of the family's 1533-position model. The record is from RNAcentral.